This 434-nucleotide ribosomal RNA is filed under the name uncultured bacterium. Its description in RNAcentral is "partial 16S ribosomal RNA". It matches the Rfam family "Bacterial small subunit ribosomal RNA", at positions 29 to 507 of the family's 1533-position model. The record is from RNAcentral.
GCGAACGCUGGCGGCAGGCUUCACACAUGCCAGUCGCGCGGGCACUUUCGGGUGUCAGCGGCGGACGGGUGAGUAACGCGUGGGAACGUGCCCUCUGGUUCGGAAUAACUCAGGGAAACUUGAGCUAAUACCGGAUACGCCCUUUUGGGGAAAGGCUUGCUGCCGGAGGAUCGGCCCGCGUCUGAUUAGCUAGUUGGUGAGGUAACGGCUCACCAAGGCGACGAUCAGUAGCUGGUCUGAGAGGAUGAUCAGCCACACUGGGACUGAGACACGGCCCAGACUCCUACGGGGGGCAGCAGUGGGGAAUAUUGGACAAUGGGCGCAAGCCUGAUCCAGCCAUGCCGCGUGAGUGAUGAAGGCCUUAGGGUUGUAAAGCUCUUUUAUCCGGGACGAUAAUGACGGUACCGGAGGAAUAAGCCCCGGCUAACUUCGUG